This 417-nucleotide long non-coding RNA is filed under the name Bos taurus (domestic cattle). RNAcentral's name for it is "long non-coding RNA NONBTAT007120". Lineage: Eukaryota; Metazoa; Chordata; Mammalia; Artiodactyla; Bovidae. The record is from RNAcentral.
AGUUUCUCUGUUCAGGCUCCAGCUUCACAAGUUAUGCCCAUUCUUAAAAUGUAACAAGUUUAGUCUCAGUAGAUCAAUGGCAGUGUAAGCCCAGUAUCCAAAGGAAACUACUACAAGUCAGAGACUGUUACGUUACACUGAUUUUCUGCAGUAAAAUUAGCACAUCAUGUGAAAUUUAUUUCCAUAGUGUUUCUCAAAUCUGUAAACACGCCUCCCUAGUCUGAAAUCCAAGACCUCUCUAUUCUGGAUUAUUCAGUAGUUCCUAAUGUACUUCCCUGCACACUGCAGCCAUAGUGAUAGGAAUCUGCUCUCUUAAUUCUCUGCUCUUCUUUUCCAAUAGGGAAGGAGUCCAGCUUCCUUACUGUGACUCUCCUCAGUGAGUAGGCAUCUGCUCAUUGCUCCAACUUCUCUUGUCUC